RNAcentral lists this ribosomal RNA (586 nucleotides) under uncultured bacterium. RNAcentral's name for it is "bacterial SSU rRNA". It matches the Rfam family "Bacterial small subunit ribosomal RNA", at positions 832 to 1503 of the family's 1533-position model. The record is from RNAcentral.
UGGAGGUUGUGGCUUCCGGAGCUAACGCGUUAAGUCGACCGCCUGGGGAGUACGGCCGCAAGGUUAAAACUCAAAUGAAUUGACGGGGGCCCGCACAAGCGGUGGAGCAUGUGGUUUAAUUCGAUGCAACGCGAAGAACCUUACCUGGUCUUGACAUCCAGGUGCUGCAUGGCUGUCGUCAGCUCGUGUUGUGAAAUGUUGGGUUAAGUCCCGCAACGAGCGCAACCCUUAUCCUUUGUUGCAACUCAAAGGAGACUGCCAGUGAUAAACUGGAGGAAGGUGGGGAUGACGUCAAGUCAUCAUGGCCCUUACGACCAGGGCUACACACGUGCUACAAUGGCGCAUACAAAGAGAAGCGACCUCGCGAGAGCAAGCGGACCUCAUAAAGUGCGUCGUAGUCCGGAUUGGAGUCUGCAACUCGACUCCAUGAAGUCGGAAUCGCUAGUAAUCGUGGAUCAGAUGCCACGGUGAAUACGUUCCCGGGCCUUGUACACACCGCCCGUCACACCAUGGGAGUGGGUUGCAAAAGAAGUAGGUUACCACUUUGUGAUUCAUGACUGGGGUGAAGUCGUAACAAGGUAACCGA